This 84-nucleotide transfer RNA is filed under the name Flavobacteriaceae bacterium TMED68. RNAcentral describes it as "tRNA-Leu". It matches the Rfam family "tRNA". From Rfam's summary of the family: Transfer RNA (tRNA) molecules are approximately 80 nucleotides in length. Their secondary structure includes four short double-helical elements and three loops (D, anti-codon, and T loops). The record is from RNAcentral. Lineage: Bacteria; Pseudomonadati; Bacteroidota; Flavobacteriia; Flavobacteriales; Flavobacteriaceae.
GCGCACGUGGCGGAANUGGUAGACGCGCUAGCUUGAGGGGUUAGUGAGANUUAUCUCNUGGAAGUUCGAGUCUUCUCGUGCGCA